GACGAACGCUGGCGGCGUGCCUAAUACAUGCAAGACGAACGCUUCUUUCCUCCCGAGUGCUUGCACUCAAUUGGAAAGAGGAGUGGCGGACGGGUGAGUAACACGUGGGUAACCUACCCAUCAGAGGGGGAUAACACUUGGAAACAGGUGCUAAUACCGCAUAACAGUUUAUGCCGCAUGGCAUAAGAGUGAAAGGCGCUUUCGGGUGUCGUUGAUGGAUGGACCCGCGGUGCAUUAGCUAGUUGGUGAGGUAACGGCUCACCAAGGCCACGAUGCAUAGCCGACCUGAGAGGGUGAUCGGCCACACUGGGACUGAGACACGGCCCAGACUCCUACGGGAGGCAGCAGUAGGGAAUCUUCGGCAAUGGACGAAAGUCUGACCGAGCAACGCCGCGUGAGUGAAGAAGGUUUUCGGAUCGUAAAACUCUGUUGUUAGAGAAGAACAAGGACGUUAGUAACUGAACGUCCCCUGACGGUAUCUAACCAGAAAGCCACGGCUAACUACGUG
RNAcentral lists this ribosomal RNA (508 nucleotides) under uncultured bacterium. RNAcentral's name for it is "partial 16S ribosomal RNA". It matches the Rfam family "Bacterial small subunit ribosomal RNA", at positions 28 to 507 of the family's 1533-position model. The record is from RNAcentral.